GGACCUUAAUUGCUGAGUGGUGGGAUGUCUGCCUUGGAAGCAGAAGAUCACAGGUUCAAUCCCUGGCAUCUCCA
Podarcis lilfordi (Lilford's wall lizard) is the source of this 74-nucleotide non-coding RNA. Lineage: Eukaryota; Metazoa; Chordata; Lepidosauria; Squamata; Lacertidae. The record is from the annotation of a GenBank genome assembly.